This is a non-coding RNA of Bemisia tabaci, 1583 nucleotides long. NCBI's taxonomy places the organism in Eukaryota, Metazoa, Arthropoda, Insecta, Hemiptera, Aleyrodidae. The record is from RefSeq and is a predicted model, not a curated record.
UGGAGAUAUGCAAUAAUUAAUCUGACAACGCAGCAAAGGGACCAUCCCUCCUGCACUUGUGCCCUUGAGAUUUUUUACGACUUUUGGGGCUAUGCGCUUCCCACGCAGCUGCGACUGCGCGGACCAGAUGACCAACCCCUCAUCUUGCCUUUGUCUUUAGUCAGUCCAGAUCCUUCUCUGUAGCUUAACGCCGUGUUCGUCUCAGUGCUGUAAAACUGAAUAAAUUCUAUUUCGGAAUUAUAUCAUAUCUUAUUAAUAUCAUAACCUUAAUUCCUUCAGGUUAUGGGCCGCAGCUUACGUGAUACGCGCAAAUAUCCGCGAUCGUGACCGCGUAUACGGAAAACGAGCAAAGUGUUCAUUUAAACUUGUGAAAAUUAAACGUGUGUGAUGAAAACGCGUAAGUGUACGAAUAUGGACCUAAACGUGUGUGAUGAAAACGCGUGAGUGCACGUAAAUGGAUUCUGCACGGAAUACGCGCGAAGACAUUUGAUUUUCAGUCGACGGAAAAUACAGUGUGUGAAAAUUCUAUUGCGCGCUGUGACAUUCGAACCUGAUAUUUUGUGUGUAAUCGAUAAUUUGAUAUUGCAACAAAGUUGAAUAUUUAAAAAAACAGUUAUGAUUUUUUUGCGCUAAAUCAUGCUUAUUUGCGCCAAGAGCUACUUAAACCGCAUUCAUGGUUCGUAGUUUGAAUGAUACCUAUCUCUGAUUAGAAGAUAGUGAAAAAGCUCAACUUCUGAUUGGAUUGAGGAGCGUCCAGAUAAAUCAGCACCAGAAAAAUUAGUUAUGCAAAACUUUCUUUGAGUUUGCUGAUCACAGUGGGCGGACACAAAUAUUCUUGGUGAAGGAUAACACGCAUUCCUAUCGCAAUGGCCACAAAAAUUGAGAAGAUACAAAGUACUGGAUGAACAUGUUUCAUGGACUCUGGUUUCAAAGGCAUUGUGGAAGACGUUUGGUUCUGCUAUGAUGUACCCUAUGACCUGUUAUCAAUACCGAAUUUUGGAAAGCUGGUCAUGCAGAACCCACUCAUCAGGAGUCAACGUUAAAAGGGAAGUACCGUUACCUUUUGUGGAAAUUUACUGGCCGAUAUGAUGAUCAAGCUGUUACCAGUCUUGGAGUUCAAUCAGUCGAGUUUUUGGACUUGGAGUAGAACUCAUAGUAACAGCAAGCACACGAUCUGGUGGAGGUUUUCCUGGGUUUCCCUUCAUCCAUGCAGCACCGAAUGGUGGAUCGUAAGCAUCACCCCAGAGUUGGCACUUGAGGACGAUUGCAGCACGGCAUCGCAGUUCAACAGAGCAACAUAGUCAAAUCAAGCAAGAAUCAGAUUAAUUCUUGAGGGGGCGUGUUGGAGAUAUGCAAUAAUUAAUCUGACAACGCAGCAAAGGGACCAUCCCUCCUGCACUUGUGCCCUUGAGAUUUUUUACGACUUUUGGGGCUAUGCGCUUCCCACGCAGCUGCGACUGCGCGGACCAGAUGACCAACCCCUCAUCUUGCCUUUGUCUUUAGUCAGUCCAGAUCCUUCUCUGUAGCUUAACGCCGUGUUCGUCUCAGUGCUGUAAAACUGAAUAAAUUCUAUUUCGGAAUUA